UACCAGCACCCCGAGUGGUCGGGACGAUUAUUGGGCCUAAAGCAUCCGUAGCCGGUUCUGCAAGUCCCCCGUUAAAUCCAGCUGCUCAACAGAUGGGCCGCGGGGGAUACUACAGAGCUAGGAGGCAGGAGAGGCAAGCGGUACUCAGUGGGUAGGGGUAAAAUCCGUUGAUCCAUUGAAGACCACCAGUGGCGAAGGCGGCUUGCCAGAAUGCGCUCGACGGUGAGGGAUGAAAGCUGGGGGAGCAAACCGG
This 253-nucleotide ribosomal RNA is filed under the name uncultured bacterium. Its description in RNAcentral is "partial 16S ribosomal RNA". It matches the Rfam family "Archaeal small subunit ribosomal RNA", at positions 474 to 727 of the family's 1478-position model. The record is from RNAcentral.